Molecule: ribosomal RNA, 278 nt
Filed under: uncultured bacterium
Lineage: Bacteria
Description: partial 16S ribosomal RNA
Rfam family: Bacterial small subunit ribosomal RNA
Source: RNAcentral
GAUGAACGCUGGCGGCGUGCCUAACACAUGCAAGUCGAACGGAGCCCUUUCGGGGGCUGAGUGGCGCACGGGUGAGGAACACGUAGCUGACCUGCCUUCCAGCGGGGGAUAACGUCCCGAAAGGGAUGCUAAGACCGCAUAAGCUCACACGCUCUAGAGGCGCGUGAGAAAAGACUACGGCUACUGGAAGAGGGGGCUGCGGCCCAUCAGGUAGUUGGUGCGGAACGGCGCACCAAGCCGACGACGGGUCGGGGAUCUGAGAGGAUGAUCCCCCCACA